AUGAUAGUAAGAGGAGAGACUGCGAUUACGUGGCGCCGAAGGAGCAAGCAACUGUGAAACUCUCAGGCAAAAAGACUCUUGCUGGACG
RNAcentral lists this non-coding RNA (88 nucleotides) under Fictibacillus macauensis. RNAcentral's name for it is "Glycine sequence". It matches the Rfam family "Glycine riboswitch aptamer". From Rfam's summary of the family: This family represents the bacterial glycine riboswitch. Glycine riboswitches usually consist of two metabolite-binding aptamers domains with similar structures in tandem. The aptamers cooperatively bind glycine to regulate the expression of downstream genes. The record is from RNAcentral. RNAcentral also lists the same sequence under 1 other name. Lineage: Bacteria; Bacillati; Bacillota; Bacilli; Caryophanales; Fictibacillaceae.